RNAcentral lists this ribosomal RNA (781 nucleotides) under uncultured bacterium. RNAcentral describes it as "bacterial SSU rRNA". It matches the Rfam family "Bacterial small subunit ribosomal RNA", at positions 8 to 795 of the family's 1533-position model. The record is from RNAcentral.
AGAGUUUGAUCCUGGCUCAGAUUGAACGCUGGCGGUAUGCUUAACACAUGCAAGUCGAACGGUAGCAGGCCUUCGGGCGCUGACGAGUGGCGGACGGGUGAGUAACGCGUAGGAAUCUGCCUCAUAGUGGGGGACAACGUGGGGAAACCCACGCUAAUACCGCAUACGCCCUACGGGGGAAAGCGGGGGAUCUUCGGACCUCGCGCUAUGAGAUGAGCCUGCGUUAGAUUAGCUAGUUGGUAGGGUAAAGGCCUACCAAGGCGACGAUCUAUAGCUGGUCUGAGAGGACGAUCAGCCACACUGGGACUGAGACACGGCCCAGACUCCUACGGGAGGCAGCAGUGGGGAAUAUUGGACAAUGGGCGGAAGCCUGAUCCAGCAAUACCGCGUGUGUGAAGAAGGCCUUAGGGUUGUAAAGCACUUUCAAUUGGGAGGAAAACCUACCGGUCAAUACCCGGUAGCUUGACAUUACCUUUAGAAGAAGCACCGGCUAACUCCGUGUCAGCAGCCGCGGUAAUACGGAGGGUGCGAGCGUUAAUCGGAAUUACUGGGCGUAAAGCGUGCGUAGGCGGUUCGUUAAGUCAGAUGUGAAAGCCCUGGGCUCAACCUGGGAACUGCAUUUGAAACUGGCGGACUAGAGUUUAGUAGAGGGGAGUGGAAUUUCAGUGUAGCGGUGAAAUGCGUAGAUUCGGGAGGAACACCAGUGGCGGGCCUUCUGGGCUGUACCUGACGUUGAGACCCGAAAGCGUGGGGAGCGAAACGGAUAGAUACCCUGGUAGUC